CUGUGCAGUGCCUCAUCACCCUUAUUAUAAAAACUUAUUCCUUAUACCCAGUCUAAAUCUCUCUCUAAGUUUGAAACCAACUCCCCUUGUCCUGUCACACAGACCCUGCUAAAGUCCGCUUACCACUCCCAUGGUAAGCCCGUGGCUUUUCGGGCAGCACCUGUGGGGCUCAGACCAGCUGGCUCCUACCUGACACUGGCUCUGCAGCUUCUUGGUGGGUCGGCCAACAAUGUAGAUGUGUGUGGGCGGGAGGCUGAUGGAGCUGUACACAGAGAUGUCCUUGGUGGAUCCAUAUGCCGCAUGGAUCCUCAUGUGGAGAUCUGUGAUGAGGGAUUUCAGGAAGUUGGCCUUGUGCCGCAGUGGGUCGUGAACGAGCCCAUCGCAGAAUGAGACGAUCCCAUGGGGGAA
This 408-nucleotide long non-coding RNA is filed under the name Gallus gallus (chicken). Lineage: Eukaryota; Metazoa; Chordata; Aves; Galliformes; Phasianidae. The record is from RNAcentral.